This 73-nucleotide transfer RNA is filed under the name Candidatus Tariuqbacter arcticus. RNAcentral's name for it is "tRNA-His". It matches the Rfam family "tRNA". Rfam says of the family: Transfer RNA (tRNA) molecules are approximately 80 nucleotides in length. Their secondary structure includes four short double-helical elements and three loops (D, anti-codon, and T loops). The record is from RNAcentral. Lineage: Bacteria; Pseudomonadati; Candidatus Electryoneota; Candidatus Tariuqbacteria; Candidatus Tariuqbacterales; Candidatus Tariuqbacteraceae.
GAGAGUGUAGCUCAGUCGGUAGAGCACCAGGUUGUGGCCCUGGUGGCCGUGGGUUCAAGUCCCAUCACUCUCC